Molecule: ribosomal RNA, 440 nt
Filed under: uncultured Sulfurovum sp.
Lineage: Bacteria; Pseudomonadati; Campylobacterota; Epsilonproteobacteria; Campylobacterales; Sulfurovaceae
Description: partial 16S ribosomal RNA
Source: RNAcentral
GACUACCGGGGUAUCUAAGCCUGUUUGCUCCCCACGCUUUCGCGCCUCAGCGUCAGUACUGUUCCAGAAGAUCGCCUUCGCUUUUGGUAUUCCUAGUGAUCUCUACGGAUUUUACCCCUACACCACUAAUUCCAUCUUCCCCUCCCAGACUCUAGCUAAGUAGUUUUGGAUGCAGUUCUAUGGUUGAGCCAUAGGAUUUCACAUCCAACUUACAAAGCCGCCUGCGCGCGCUUUACGCCCAGUGAUUCCGAGUAACGCUUGCACCCUCCGUAUUACCGCGGCUGCUGGCACGGAGUUAGCCGGUGCUUAUUCAUGUGAUACCGUCAUUAUCUUCUCACAUAAAAGGAGUUUACGCACCGAAAUGUGUCAUCCUCCACGCGGCGUUGCUACAUCAGAGUUUCCUCCAUUGUGCAAUAUUCCCCACUGCAGCCCCCCGUAGG